GACGUAGGGGGCCAGCGUUGCUCGGAAUUACUGGGUGUAAAGGGUUCGUAGGCGGUGUGGCAAGUCGGGAGUGAAAUCCCUGGGCUUAACCCAGGGGCUGCUUCUGAAACUGCCGUGCUAGAGUGUGGGAGAGGCGCGUGGAAUUGCAGGUGUAGCGGUGAAAUGCGUAGAUAUCUGCAGGAACACCCGUGGCGAAAGCGGCGCGCUGGACCACUACUGACGCUGAGGAACGAAAGCUAGGGGAGCAAACAG
RNAcentral lists this ribosomal RNA (252 nucleotides) under uncultured bacterium. RNAcentral describes it as "partial 16S ribosomal RNA". It matches the Rfam family "Bacterial small subunit ribosomal RNA", at positions 524 to 775 of the family's 1533-position model. The record is from RNAcentral.